RNAcentral lists this ribosomal RNA (424 nucleotides) under uncultured prokaryote. Its description in RNAcentral is "bacterial SSU rRNA". It matches the Rfam family "Bacterial small subunit ribosomal RNA", at positions 355 to 796 of the family's 1533-position model. The record is from RNAcentral.
UGGGGAAUCUUGGACAAUGGGGGCAACCCUGAUCCAGCGACGCCGCGUGGGUGAUGAAGGCCUUCGGGUUGUAAAGCCCUUUUCUCGGUGAGGAUGAUGACGGUAGCCGAGGAAUAAGCACCGGCUAACUCCGUGCCGGCAGCCGCGGUAAUACGGAGGGAGCUAGCGUUGUUCGGAAUUACUGGGCGUAAAGCGCGCGUAGGCGGCCUAUCAAGUCAGGGGUGAAAUCCCGGGGCUCAACCCCGGAACUGCCCUUGAAACUGGUAAGCUAGAAUCCUGGAGAGGCGAGUGGAAUUCCGAGUGUAGAGGUGAAAUUCGUAGAUAUUCGGAAGAACACCAGUGGCGAAGGCGACUCGCUGGACAGGUAUUGACGCUGAGGUGCGAAAGCGUGGGGAGCAAACAGGAUUAGAUACCCGUGUAGUCC